AGAGUUUGAUCCUGGCUCAGAUUGAACGCUGGCGGCAUGCCUAACACAUGCAAGUCGAACGGUAACAGGCCCUUCGGGGUGCUGACGAGUGGCAGACGGGUGAGCAAUACGUAGGAAUCUGCCCUGGUAGUGGGGGAUAGCUCGGCGAAAGCCGGAUUAAUACCGCAUACGAUCUACGGAUGAAAGCGGGGGACCGUAAGGCCUCGCGCUAUAGGAUGAGCCUACGUCUGAUUAGCUAGUUGGUAGGGUAACGGCCUACCAAGGCGACGAUCAGUAGCUGGUCUGAGAGGAUGAUCAGCCACACCGGAACUGAGACACGGCCCAGACUCCUACGGGAGGCAGCAGUAGGGAAUCUUCCGCAAUGGGCGCAAGCCUGACGGAGCAACGCCGCGUGAGCGAGGACGGCCUUCGGGUUGUAAAGCUCUGUUCUUCGGGAAGAAGGGCGGGAGGGCGAACAACUCUUCCGCUUGACGGUACCGAAGGAGAAAGCCCCGGCUAACUACGUGCCAGCAGCCGCGGUAAUACGUAGGGGGCGAGCGUUGUCCGGAAUUAUUGGGCGUAAAGCGCGCGUAGGCGGCUGGUUAAGUCCUGUGUGAAAGACCACGGCUCAACCGUGGGGGUGCACGGGAAACUGGCCGGCUUGAGUGCAGGAGAGGGGAGCGGAAUNCCCGGUGUAGCGGUGGAAUGCGUANAGAUCGGGAGGAACACCAGUGGCGAAG
This 719-nucleotide ribosomal RNA is filed under the name uncultured bacterium. RNAcentral describes it as "bacterial SSU rRNA". It matches the Rfam family "Bacterial small subunit ribosomal RNA", at positions 8 to 720 of the family's 1533-position model. The record is from RNAcentral.